GUAAGACCGGGGGUACGCGGCGAUAGCGGCGGCCGUUGCGAUUGAUUGCGCUGGUUGCCUCCGGAGUCCACUUCCUUGGCCGCCCUUGCUACACUGGCUGAUUGUUGUGCAGCUGGCGCCAUGUCUGUGAGCGAGAUCUUCGUGGAGCUGCAGGGCUUUUUGGCUGCCGAGCAGGACAUCCGAGAGGAAAUCAGAAAAGUUGUACAGAGUUUAGAACAAACAGCUCGAGAGAUUUUAACUCUACUGCAAGGGGUCCAUCAGGGUGCUGGGUUUCAGGACAGUAAGUUCUUUGUUUUGUAUCCAAUUAUCAGUCUCUUAUUUAGAGGGAGAGUUUCUAUCCAGAAGACAUUUUAUAAUGAAAAAUGGCUAUCGUGCUUUAUGGUGAGUAAAAAUUGAAGAAGUAGGUGAUUUGAUAAUUUUGGUUGAUUUUUCUUCCACUUCCACACAGUAUGGUUUAAACAGAGAUGUUUUCUAUUGUGAGGGCAUUCUACUGAUGAUAAUUACAAUUGCUUAACCCAUUUCCUGUAAAGUGCAGCUCUCUGCCA
Molecule: small RNA, 545 nt
Filed under: Pongo abelii (Sumatran orangutan)
Lineage: Eukaryota; Metazoa; Chordata; Mammalia; Primates; Hominidae
Description: retained intron
Source: RNAcentral